RNAcentral lists this transfer RNA (75 nucleotides) under Candidatus Roizmanbacteria bacterium RIFOXYA1_FULL_41_12. RNAcentral's name for it is "tRNA-Arg". It matches the Rfam family "tRNA". Rfam says of the family: Transfer RNA (tRNA) molecules are approximately 80 nucleotides in length. Their secondary structure includes four short double-helical elements and three loops (D, anti-codon, and T loops). RNAcentral also lists the same sequence under 6 other names. The record is from RNAcentral. Lineage: Bacteria; Candidatus Roizmaniibacteriota.
GUCCUCAUAGCUCAACGGAUAGAGCACAGGUUUCCUAAACCUGGGAUGAAGGUUCAAUUCCUUCUGAGGACACCA